CGCCUCCUGUAACAAACACACAAAGAAAGAAAGACGUAAGAUAAUUGCAACUUCACUUUAGCUCUGGCUAAAAAAAAACGCGCACACCAAAUUAAUGGAAGAGGGAGUGGAAUUCGAAAUUGAUUUAGUGUCUGGUUCUUCUUCUUCUCUUCUAUAAACUAAAUGAUGAUGUAGAAACCUGAUGAAAUGAAAGUACACGUUGUGUUGUUUGUGUUAGGAGAGCUUGCAACUGGGAGAGUUCUCACGAUCCGGAGUACAAAGAAAUUUUUUGCAGACAUAAUAAACAUAGGGAGAGAGACAGUGGCCGCGGAAGGGGGGGACAUAGUAGGAUGAGGGAGGGAGGGGUUUAUAUAAGAUGGAGAGAUGAUGUGGACAUCGAAUAACUGUGGGGACAUUGUCCCUCUGUCCGCACCCACGCUUCCGCGGUCACUGUUAAAGAGUACGUUAAACUCGUGUAAUCAGUGGCCGCGGAAGCUGUGGGGACAUCUGGGACAUUGUCAUUGUAGGAUAAGAGGGGGGGUUUAUUUAAGACGGGCAGAUGAUGGGGACAUCGAACAGCCGUAUGGGACAUUGUCCCUCUGUCCGCACCCACGCUUCCGUGGCCACUGCGUAAAAGUAUGUUAUACUCGUAAGUAAUCAGUGGCCGCGGAAGCUGUGGGGACAUUAGCAUGUAGGAUGGGGGAGGGAGGGGUUUAUAUAACAUUGGCGAUGAUGCGGACAUCGAAUAACCUUUGGCACAUUGUCCCUCUGCCCCCACUCACGCUUCCGCGGCCACUGAGCUAGGAGAGUUUCCAAUUUGUAAAAAAAAAAUUCGUCCUCUCACAAAUUCGGGGAACAACACCUCUCCUAAAAAAGGAAAAUAGGACCGAGAAAGAAAGAAAGGUUUGAAACUGGAGAGAUUUUUUUUAACGAGAGCAGACUUCACUUUGCAGGAUGGAGCGGGUUGUUGGCUGGCUGGGUGGGUGGCUCGGUGGGUGUGUUCUGUUCUCAUUCUACAGGAUUUUAUUUAAGCUAAAACAUUCAUCCUUCUUUACAAGUAAAACUUUAUCCUGACGGCAUACACACACACACACAGUUUUGUCCGAGAGGGCUUUUUCUGACAGGACGCAAAUAGAAAGUGUCAACUCAGUUUUGAUAUGCUUGCCUGAAUAAUUUCUUUGCUUACGCCUUUCGCACGAACAAACUUUCUUAAUCUAAAUUUUCUUCAGAGAGAGAAAGCUCCAAGAGAGAGAGAUAUGAGGGCUGUAAUGUAUUCAAGGCUGAUAAUCUGUCGUACUGCUUCAGCUAAAUCAACCUUCACUUAUCCUCCAGUUAUGCUAUGCAUGAUUAACAAGAAGACUUGAGAAGAGUUCUCUUUGCCUAAUAAGUUUUGGGCCAUUAUGCAAAAAGAAAAAUUCAAAGGAAUUCAGAAUUUUUCUGGAGAGGAAACUCGUCAAAUAUUAAUUAGUCUUUUUUGUUUGGUAAUUUUCGUAAUUUGGGAACUUUUCCAAGUCUUGUAAAUAAAAUGGGGGCAUUAAAAAGGAGUAUAAAGUGGUGCCGUAAAUAAGCAAAUAUUUGCAUAUCAUAGGGUAUGUACACACACAUAUGAAUGUAGCUAAAAAGUACUUAAUGCUUGGAUCAACAAAAGGCUUAUCUAAAUAGGAGCAAAGUGUGGGGAUAAUUGCCAAUUUUGGAGUAAAGUGCUUUGUUGCUGUUCGUGAGUGGGAAAUCGAUAUGGAUGGAUAGAUGCAGUAAUUAACCUGACAGUUAAUUAAUGAAUGAGAGCAAUGUCUGGUAUGGAUGUAGGUCUGGUCCAGUUAUUUUGCAUUAUUAAUUUCCAAAAGUAUGGAUUUGAUUGAGUAUGACUGACACAAAUGUAUAAUCUUGUACUCAACGGUUAACAUAUAUGUAAAAAGUACAGAACUUUUGCGGUAUCAUCAACGGGAUAUGACACAUCAUCGUUAUCGGUGGAAUCGUGUCAUCGUGUGUGACACAUACAAAAAAUCGCUGGAAAGCCGAAAAUUUCAGUCUACCAACAAUAUGUACAUAUAUUCGUCUAAAAAGAUAAGCGUAAUCGCCCAUUGCAAAUAUUACGUGUCAGUCAAAACCACACAGCUUUAACAAAAUAUGUUCAACAUUAUAACUCAAUCUAUAAAUUUAUGUGGAUAUAUCGUUGACUAAAUUAAAUGAGUCAAGCCAUUUAAUUUUUAUAUCGAUGUAUGGAAGUGCAUCUAUUUGAAUACGAAGUUAAUUCAAUUUUCUAAAAAAAAUUAAAUACGGCGUAAAACUUAGCAGCUUUCACUUUUUCUCCAAAAAUUAGUCUGUCCUUCCACCCACCAUCGGACACAUAUAGAUGACCGACAUACGAUAUCAUUCAUCAGUGAUGAAUCAUCACCAACCAGCCUGUAAUAUCAAUAUGAAGAAUCAAGUAGCAAAACACUUACCCGCACAACACCACUUGAUAACACAAAAAUUGAUGUUAAUUGACGGAUAUUAAAUUUCCGUUUUAUUUUAUAUCAGCUGCCUCUACCUGCACACCUGGCUUGCUUUUACUCGUAGCAGAUAUUUUAGCACCACUCCUCCUGGUAAAAAUAAAAAAUCUAAUUUCGUCCCCUUUUAUCACCAGAAAACACUUUUCUCCUUUUUACGCACACAUUCAAUUCAAUUCUGUUCUGUUACUUUUCCACCCAUUCGUUCAAUGAUGAUGAUCACCUGUUUAUGACUGGACUCUCUCGUCCAUCCAUUAUUCCAAUCUUCCUCCACUCACAAAGUCCAAAAACCAAACCACAAAAACCAACCACGUCGACUAUAGUUCAUGUGGUCAUACUAAAAAUCCACACCUUGUCUGUCUCUCUGCUGAGUCACAACUGCCUUGAAACCACCACCAACCUCUCGUCUCGACUCCUAUGCUUUACUUUCUCCGGUGGCAGACAAAUUCCGUGGACGGAGAGAGAAAGUUGGCCAAGUCCCAAUUUCCAGGUUUUCUCCAGUCCACACGGAACAAGACCUGCUGUUCUGGUAAAACCCAACUUUCCCUCGGACCCUGUCUGUGCCAAAUUCGGUGCAUGGGAAGGUUAGUUGGUCGUCGCUGUUCUGCUGCUGCUGCUUUUUUUUUAUCUAAACUUGCUGCCUCUGUUCUGUUCUUGUUCUUCCUUGUUAGAGAAAGUUGGGAAAGUUGUGGAGAGAGAACGGACAGAAAUCACGUUGUGAUGUGAAAAUCAAUACUAAAAUGUGCCCGUAUAGAUGGAUGGAUGGAUGUCAGUCAGAUAUUGACUUAUUUGUCAGGCCAGGCGAAUGUAAAGUGAGUGAAGUGAACCUCUCUUUUGCAGGGAGAUUAAUUUCCAUUGAAUUGGAGGUUGCUUUGCUUUACCCUGCUUUCACUUACUUUCUCUUGGAAAUUGAUACUUAUUAUUGUGAGUGAGUGAGUGAAAACCUUGGUGCUGGAGGCGGACGGAGGCAUGAAAUGAAAUGAAAUGAAGCCGUUCAGCGUUAGUAACGAAGGAAAGGGAGAUCAGAAGAGUGAAAUGGCUGAAUUGUGAAAUGAAAUACGGAGAAAGCUCUGAAGUCUAAAUGCGUCAAUUUAAGUAAUAAAAUCAUGCAAGUUUGAAAGGUAUUGAAUUUUAGGGAGAGAGCUUAUGGAAGAGUUAUGUAAAUAUGGAGGUGUACGAUUUCGUCGAGGAUUAUAGGUGGGAAUUUUGCAUAAAUGUGAAAGUUAUGCAUACGUUCCAGAGGUCCACUGGUGUACUGGUCACAAUUUGGGGAAUUGUUAAAAAAUUUUGCAUUGCAUUCAGUGGCCGUGGGGACAUCUGGGGACAUUAACAUUGUAGGAUAUGGGAGGGAGGGGUUUAUAUAACAUGGGGAGAUGAUGGAGACAUCGAAUAACCCUGGGGACAUUGUCCCUCUAUCUGCCCCCAAGCUUCCGCUGCCACUGACCGCAUUUCUGGACAUUUUAAGAACCCGGGGUCUUGACCUGUGCAGGAAACAAAUUCAAAUAUUAAAAUUUGUGGUGACAAGUGGCACGUCCUAGCCGAAGUAUUUUGCGAUGCAUGCAUGGAUCCCAAAACUCAGGAGAAAAUUCAGAUUUAAAAGAGAGAGAAAUUGUGCCGAACAAAAGUAGUCGAAUGAGCUGAACGGGGUCCUAAAACUUUUCCCCGUAAUUGGGAGAUUUUACUUUCUUCAUUCAUUCAUCAGUUCUUUUGAGAAUUUGGAUCGGAUUGUGGAUGGAUUGGAUAAUAAUGACGACUUUCUGAAAAUGAGGGCAGUGGGUGCAGUUUUAUACUUUAUUAUACCCACACAUACACCAUUACUCGCUCUAUUUUACAGAAAUGCUACCUAACCUUUCUCCAAGGAUUGAAUCGUUUAAUUUAAUGAGUAUUGACGAAGCAAUAGAAUAGCGGCGAAUUUUAAUGAUGCCUUCUUUUUGCAAAAGAAAUAAAUUUCCGUCCUGGUUUUCUGGUUUUGGACGAGAAAAUGAGUGUAACAACAAAAACCUGGUUUUAUCCAGACGUGACUUUCCUACCGCUUUCACUUGCCAAAUUGCGUUUCCUAGUUCUUGUCCGGACUAAUGAUGCCUUAUGGAUAGCUAUUAAAAUCAUUCGACCCGAUGAAUUCCCUUCGGAUGGUGUUGCUGCCCCUGGAUUCGUUCUCCGGAAAAAAAGUAGCAAUAAGUUACAUAAUAUUUUACCUAUUUUAUACCAAAUUCGAACAAUUUUCUAGAUUUAUUUCGUAACAAAAUUCUUAUAAACAAUGAAUAAUGGGAGCGAUAAACAAAAUUAUUUUCAAACUUAACCUAUGUAUUUAGCUAGCUACCUAUUUGAUCCCGUAUAUUAUUUAUUUGGUAUUGUAAUUCGUACAUUCAUAGUUGCUCAAUUAAUACGACUGUUUGGAAAUAUCCGUCAGAUUUGGCGUUAUGUAGUGAAAGAACUAAGAUUGGAAUGAAU
Molecule: long non-coding RNA, 4919 nt
Organism: Folsomia candida
Lineage: Eukaryota; Metazoa; Arthropoda; Collembola; Entomobryomorpha; Isotomidae
Exons: 2
Source: RefSeq, a predicted model, not a curated record